UGUCAAGUCAGCAUGGCCUUUAUAUCCUGGGCUACACACACGCUACAAUGGCCAACACAAUAGGUUGCUAAGCCGCGAGGUGGCGCCAAUCCAUAAAAGUUGGUCUCAGUUCAGAUUGUAGGCUGCAACCCGCCUGCAUGAAGAUGGAGUUGCUAGUAACCGCAGGUCAGCUAUACUGCGGUGAAUACGUUCCCGGGGCUU
This 201-nucleotide ribosomal RNA is filed under the name uncultured Leptolinea sp. RNAcentral's name for it is "partial 16S ribosomal RNA". It matches the Rfam family "Bacterial small subunit ribosomal RNA", at positions 1183 to 1382 of the family's 1533-position model. The record is from RNAcentral. Lineage: Bacteria; Bacillati; Chloroflexota; Anaerolineae; Anaerolineales; Anaerolineaceae.